This 468-nucleotide ribosomal RNA is filed under the name uncultured bacterium. RNAcentral describes it as "partial 16S ribosomal RNA". It matches the Rfam family "Bacterial small subunit ribosomal RNA", at positions 28 to 507 of the family's 1533-position model. The record is from RNAcentral.
GACGAACGCUGGCGGCGUGCUUAACACAUGCAAGUCGAACGGUGAGGAACUGCAAUUGUGGGUUCCUCGAGAGGCGAACGGGUGAGUAACACGAGAGUAACGUGCAACUGAUUUUGGGAUAACUUCUGGAAACUGGGGCGACUACGGGAACGGAGCUCCUGCUGAUUGGAGAGGGUCGGAAAGUUUCGGAGGAUGGGUAUGGACUCGCGGCUUAUCGGUUUGUUGGGGGGGUAUUGGCUUACCAAGGCGUUGACGGGUAGCCAGCCUGAGGGGGUGACAGGCCACAUUGGGACGGAAAUGCGGCCCAGACUCCUACGGGAGGCAGCGGUGGGGAAGAGUGCACAAUAGGCGGAAGCCUGAUGCAAUGACGCCGCGUGCGGGAUGACGGCCAUCGGUUUGUAAACCGCUGCCGCCUUUGAUGAAGCGUGAGUGACGGUAAUAGGUAAAGAAGCACCGGCUAACUACGUG